CGUAGGGCGCGAGCGUUGUCCGGAAUUAUUGGGCGUAAAGAGCUCGUAGGCGGCUUGUCGCGUCGGUUGUGAAAGCCCGGGGCUUAACCCCGGGUCUGCAGUCGAUACGGGCAGGCUAGAGUUCGGUAGGGGAGAUCGGAAUUCCUGGUGUAGCGGUGAAAUGCGCAGAUAUCAGGAGGAACACCGGUGGCGAAGGCGGAUCUCUGGGCCGAUACUGACGCUGAGGAGCGAAAGCGUGGGGAGCGAACAGGACU
RNAcentral lists this ribosomal RNA (254 nucleotides) under uncultured bacterium. Its description in RNAcentral is "partial 16S ribosomal RNA". It matches the Rfam family "Bacterial small subunit ribosomal RNA", at positions 526 to 779 of the family's 1533-position model. The record is from RNAcentral.